GGCUUCUCUAUGUUGGUAAAACUGCUGGUUAUCAUAGCAGAACUCAGGAAGAAAUUCAUGAGUUGCUUCUGAGUUUUGCUGAAGCUGGGGCCAAUGUUGUGAGACUAAAAGGAGGUGACCCAUUGGUAUUUGGACGAGGAGGAGAAGAGAUGGAUUUUCUCCAACAAAAGGGAAUUCAAGUUAAAGUUAUUCCAGGUAUUACUGCAGCAUCUGGGAUAUCGGCGGAGUUGGGAAUUCCAUUAACCCAUCGGGGUGUCGCAAAUAGUGUUAGAUUUCUCACUGGUCACUCGAGAAAAGGAGGAACAGACCCACUUUUUGUUGCAGAGAAUGCGGCUGACCCUGACUCUACAUUAGUUGUUUAUAUGGGCUUGUCAACGCUUCCUUCCCUGGCCUCAAAGCUCAUACAUCAUGGGUUGCCAACUGAUACACCAGCUGUUGCCAUUGAGCGAGGAACAACACCUCAACAACGCAUGGUGUUUGCAGAACUGAAGAAUCUUGCUGAUGAUAUUGUAUCUCACCAGCUAGAGUCGCCAACUUUGAUUAUCAUUGGGAAGGUGGUAGCUCUUUCACCAUUAUGGCCACACUCCACUGAAGAGUCUCCUGUCUUGGUUGAGACCAAAUCUUCAAUCAACACAUUGCAAUAGGCCAG
RNAcentral lists this unclassified non-coding RNA (649 nucleotides) under Hevea brasiliensis (rubber tree). Lineage: Eukaryota; Viridiplantae; Streptophyta; Magnoliopsida; Malpighiales; Euphorbiaceae. The record is from RNAcentral.